GCCGGCAGCUAGCUCUCUCUGCAACUCUCACAUGGUCGCCCACUGAAGCUAAGCAAGGCUGUGUACUGUCAGUACCUGGAUUGGAGACCACAUGUGAAAGCUAGGUUGCUGCUGGAA
RNAcentral lists this ribosomal RNA (117 nucleotides) under Danio rerio (zebrafish). Lineage: Eukaryota; Metazoa; Chordata; Actinopteri; Cypriniformes; Danionidae. The record is from RNAcentral.